CCUACGGGCGGCAGCAGUGGGGAAUAUUGGGCAAUGGACGCAAGUCUGACCCAGCAACGCCGCGUGAAGGAAGAAGGCUUUCGGGUUGUAAACUUCUUUUUAGGGGGAAGAGCAGAAGACGGUACCCCUUGAAUAAGCCACGGCUAACUACGUGCCAGCAGCUGCGGUAAUGCGAAGGUGGCAAGCGUUGUCCGGAUUUACUGGGUGUAAAGGGCGUGCAGCCGGGGAGACAAGUCAGAUGUGAAAUCCGCAGGCUCAAACUGCGAACUGCAUUUGAAACUGGUUCCCUUGAGUAACGGAGAGGUCAUCGGAAUGCGUGGUGUAGCGGUGAAAUGCGUAGAUAUUAGGAAGAACACCAGUGGCGAAGGCGGAAGACUGGACGACAACUGACGGUGAGGCGCGAAAGCGUGGGGAGCAAACAGGAUUAGAUACCCCAGUAGUC
This 442-nucleotide ribosomal RNA is filed under the name uncultured bacterium. RNAcentral describes it as "partial 16S ribosomal RNA". It matches the Rfam family "Bacterial small subunit ribosomal RNA", at positions 338 to 795 of the family's 1533-position model. The record is from RNAcentral.